GGGAAGGAUCACUAUUUUUUUUAAAGGCAGUUCUCGGGACAGGAGGAUGGACUGCAUUCCGAUGUUGGCUCCCAGGUCCCAAGGUGUACAGCUCCCAGGCAGGUUAAAAUCCUGAGUGAAAUUAGUGGACCGAAGGAUAUGAACUUUUGCAAGGCUGUUGCCAAGCUGUUUGCCAGUCUUCAUUUCUACCUGCCGAGUAUUAGAAAUCAUUACGCGCCCCUUUCCCAUCUUAGCAUUGACUGCUAUAAAAAAAAUUUCAAC
This is a long non-coding RNA of Myotis brandtii (Brandt's bat), 261 nucleotides long. RefSeq lists it as uncharacterized. The record is from RefSeq and is a predicted model, not a curated record. The transcript is spliced from 3 exons. NCBI's taxonomy places the organism in Eukaryota, Metazoa, Chordata, Mammalia, Chiroptera, Vespertilionidae.